GCAGACUUGACAGGUGCACCCCGCAUCUCGUCAACAGUCUGCAUGUGCCGUCUCCGUGCAUCUUUGAGAAGCUUUGUCGCUGUGAGACUGACUGUGGGAGAUCUAACAUCAUCUCUGUAUUAUCAGGUACAUGUUGUAUAUUUUUAUAUUUGUAUUAAUGUUAGCUUGUGUGUAAAUAACUUGUGAACAGUCUGCAUGUGCCGUCUCCGUGCAUCUUUGAGAAGCUUUGUCGCUGUGAGACUGACUGUGGGAGAUCUAACAUCAUCUCUGUAUUAUCAGAAUAAAUGGCGAGUUGGAGCCAAAAGUGACGGUGUGUGGACAUCAUUAAUAACACAACGCAAAGAGAGAGUACACAACUGCUACACAGGGAACUGGUGUUGUCCCUGCUCCAGCUGCUGUCCAGGCCCUCCUUCCAGCAAAAGGACUGUCCUCUGUACAUUUGGGAAAAUAAAUUCUUUUGCAUAUAUUGUUAAA
Molecule: long non-coding RNA, 474 nt
Organism: Sebastes umbrosus (honeycomb rockfish)
Lineage: Eukaryota; Metazoa; Chordata; Actinopteri; Perciformes; Sebastidae
Exons: 2
Source: RefSeq, a predicted model, not a curated record